This 449-nucleotide ribosomal RNA is filed under the name uncultured bacterium. Its description in RNAcentral is "bacterial SSU rRNA". It matches the Rfam family "Bacterial small subunit ribosomal RNA", at positions 28 to 490 of the family's 1533-position model. The record is from RNAcentral.
GAUGAACGCUAGCGGCAGGCUUAAUACAUGCAAGUCAAGGGGUCAGCAAUGGCACCGGCGGACGGGUGAGUAACGCGUACACAACGUACCUUUAACUGGGGGAUAGCAUUUGGAAACGAGUGGUAAUAUCGCAUGUGGUUGUAGGGAGGCAUCUUUUUGCAACUAAAACUCAGGUGGUUAAAGAUCGGUGUGCGUCCGAUUAGCUAGUUGGUGAGGUAAUGGCUCACCAAGGCGACGAUCGGUAGGGGGCGUGAGAGCGUGAACCCCCACACGGGUACUGAGACACGGACCCGACUCCUACGGGAGGCAGCAGUAAGGAAUAUUGGUCAGUGGAGGCAACUCUGAACCAGCCAUGCCGCGUGAAGGAAGAAGGCGCUAUGCGUUGUAAACUUCUUUUGGGUGGAAGAAAUGGUCAAUUUAUUGACAACUGACGGUACCAUCAGAAUAAG